Molecule: ribosomal RNA, 422 nt
Filed under: uncultured bacterium
Lineage: Bacteria
Description: bacterial SSU rRNA
Rfam family: Bacterial small subunit ribosomal RNA
Source: RNAcentral
AACGAACGCUGGCGGCAUGCCUAACACAUGCAAGUCGAACGGAUGGUUUCGGCCAUCAGUGGCGCACGGGUGAGUAACGCGUGGGAAUCUGCCCAGCAGUGGGGGAUAACCUCUGGAAACGGAGGCUAAUACCGCAUACGCCCCUCGGGGGAAAGGCUUGCUGCUGCUGGAGGAGCCCGCGUCGGAUUAGGUAGUUGGUGGGGUAACGGCCUACCAAGCCUGUGAUCCGUAGCUGGUCUGAGAGGAUGAUCAGCCACACUGGGACUGAGACACGGCCCAGACUCCUACGGGAGGCAGCAGUGGGGAAUAUUGGACAAUGGGCGCAAGCCUGAUCCAGCAAUGCCGCGUGAGUGAUGAAGGCCUUCGGGUUGUUAAAGGACUCUUUCGUCCCACGACGAUGAUGACGGUAGUGGGAGAAGAAG